CGUUGUCCGGAUUAUUGGGCGUAAAGAGCUUGUAGGCGGUUUGUCGCGUCUGCUGUGAAAGGCCGGGGCUUAACUCCGUGUAUUGCAGUGGGUACGGGCAGACUAGAGUGCAGUAGGGGAGACUGGAAUUCCUGGUGUAGCGGUGGAAUGCGCAGAUAUCAGGAGGAACACCGAUGGCGAAGGCAGGUCUCUGGGCUGUAACUGACGCUGAGAAGCGAAAGCAUGGGGAGCGAACAGGAUUAGAUACCCUGGUAGUCCAUGCUGUAAACGUUGGGCACUAGGUGUGGGGGACAUUCCACGUUUUCCGCGCCGUAGCUAACGCAUUAAGUGCCCCGCCUGGGGAGUACGGCCGCAAGGCUAAAACUCAAAGAAAUUGACGGGGGCCCGCACAAGCGGCGGAGCAUGCGGAUUAAUUCGAUGCAACGCGAAGAACCUUACCAAGGCUUGACAUAUACUGGACCGCAUCAGAGAUGGUGUUUCCCUUCGGGGCUGGUAUACAGGUGGUGCAUGGUUGUCGUCAGCUCGUGUCGUGAG
This 534-nucleotide ribosomal RNA is filed under the name uncultured bacterium. Its description in RNAcentral is "bacterial SSU rRNA". It matches the Rfam family "Bacterial small subunit ribosomal RNA", at positions 539 to 1071 of the family's 1533-position model. The record is from RNAcentral.